GAUGAACGCUGGCGGCGUGCUUAACACAUGCAAGUCGAACGGAAAGGCUCCUGCUUGCUGGGGUACUCGAGUGGCGAACGGGUGAGUAACACGAGGGUGAUCUGCCCUACAUUUCGGGAUAAGCUAGGGAAACUGGGUCUAAUAUCGGAUAGGACCACAUUUUGGAUGGUGAGGUGGAAAGUUUUUCGGCGUGGGAUGAGCUCGGGGCCUAUAAGCUUGUUGGUGGGGAAAUGGCCUACCAAGGCGUCGACGGGGAGCCGGCCUGAGAGGAUGGACGGCCACAUUAGGCCUGAGAUGCGGCCCAGACUCCUACGGAAGGCAGCAGUGGGGAAGAUUGGACCAAGGCCGAACGCCUGAUGGAGCGAGGCCGUGUGGGUGAUGACGGCCUUUGUGUGGUAAGCAACUUUCGCUGGGGACGAAGCGUUUUUGUGACGGUACCUGGAGAAGAAGCACCGGCUAACUACGUG
RNAcentral lists this ribosomal RNA (467 nucleotides) under uncultured bacterium. Its description in RNAcentral is "partial 16S ribosomal RNA". It matches the Rfam family "Bacterial small subunit ribosomal RNA", at positions 28 to 507 of the family's 1533-position model. The record is from RNAcentral.